UUUGAUUGCCUGCGCUUUGUUUUAUUUUAACUUGGAAUGCCAUUAGCUGCUACAAACGCUUUAAGUAUACAAACAACGACAGGAUGUCACACCGUAUCAUUGUUGCAGUUAUGCUAGUUUUGGUUGCAAGUAUUUUGUCGGACGCCCAGCCUGGGACAUGGCCCAUAGAACAGUCGACAAACCUUCGAAGACGAUGGACGGGCGAUGAAGUUCAAUUGAAAAUAAAUCGUAAGAGUGACAAGCUGUUCCAAGCGAUUUACGCCGACGAUGAAUCAAACCAUUAACCAUACUGAAGAACUACUACUUUCUCUUUAUAUGCUGUGUUUCUUUUGACUAAUAAACGAAUAUCCAGACCCACUA
Long non-coding RNA from Ciona intestinalis (vase tunicate), 360 nucleotides. RefSeq lists it as uncharacterized. Lineage: Eukaryota; Metazoa; Chordata; Ascidiacea; Phlebobranchia; Cionidae. The record is from RefSeq and is a predicted model, not a curated record.